AGAGUUUGAUCCUGGCUCAGAUUGAACGCUGGCGGCAUGCCUUACACAUGCAAGUCGGACGGCAGCGCGGGGGCAACCCUGGCGGCGAGUGGCGAACGGGUGAGUAAUACAUCGGAACGUGUCCUGGAGUGGGGGAUAGCCCGGCGAAAGCCGGAUUAAUACCGCAUACGCUCUAUGGAGGAAAGCGGGGGAUCUUCGGACCUCGCGCUCAAGGGGCGGCCGAUGGCAGAUUAGCUAGUUGGUGGGGUAAAGGCCUACCAAGGCGACGAUCUGUAGCUGGUCUGAGAGGACGACCAGCCACACUGGGACUGAGACACGGCCCAGACUCCUACGGGAGGCAGCAGUGGGGAAUUUUGGACAAUGGGGGCAACCCUGAUCCAGCAAUGCCGCGUGUGUGAAGAAGGCCUUCGGGUUGUAAAGCACUUUUGUCCGGAAAGAAAACCUCCGUCCUAAUACGGUGGGGGGAUGACGGUACCGGAAGAAUAAGCACCGGCUAACUACGUGCCAGCCGCCGCGGUAAUAC
This 523-nucleotide ribosomal RNA is filed under the name uncultured bacterium. RNAcentral describes it as "bacterial SSU rRNA". It matches the Rfam family "Bacterial small subunit ribosomal RNA", at positions 8 to 526 of the family's 1533-position model. The record is from RNAcentral.